RNAcentral lists this ribosomal RNA (253 nucleotides) under uncultured bacterium. RNAcentral describes it as "partial 16S ribosomal RNA". It matches the Rfam family "Bacterial small subunit ribosomal RNA", at positions 524 to 776 of the family's 1533-position model. The record is from RNAcentral.
UACGUAGGGGGCUAGCGUUGUCCGGAAUCAUUGGGCGUAAAGCGCGUGUAGGCGGUCCGGUAAGUCCGCUGUGAAAGUCGGGGGCUCAACCCUCGAAAGCCGGUGGAAACUGUCGGGCUAGAGUGCGGAAGAGGCGAGUGGAAUUCCUGGUGUAGCGGUGAAAUGCGCAGAUAUCAGGAGGAACACCAAUUGCGAAGGCAGCUCGCUGGGACGUAACUGACGCUGAGACGCGAAAGCUAGGGGAGCGAACAGG